ACCCCAAGAACCCGGCAUGCAAAGUCAGAAUCCUCUCCGGUGCCCCGCCAGAGAGCGCACUUUGCGUCCCGGGGACCCCUCGGGAGGAUCCGGGGCUGGACCAAACCGCGGUCGCGUGGGCGCAUCCCUCACCGCCCGGCGCCCUCUCCCGGGAUCCUAGGCAUCCGCAGAAGGCACCGGGGCCACGGCCACGUGCAGAGCCCGGAGUGCCGCUUGCAGGAACAGGAUCCCGCCAGGGAGCAGCCCGCGAAGUUCCCACCUUAAGUUCCGUCGCGGCGUCCCCUCCUUGGAGCUGGCCCGGCCGCAGCUCGGUCCCCCAGUGCAGCAAUGCCGGGGUCCAAGCGCACACUAGGUCGUGGACCUCUCCCCGCACUGCCGCGGGCGCUGCGUCAUGUCUGGAGGGUACUUCAUGCCUUGCAGCCCGAGAACCCCAUGCUGCACUCCACCUAAACAUCGCCUUCCAGGGGACCACACCAGCCAUACCACGUGCCUUCUCCACUGCUUCCACACCGCUGGACUGAACAGUAGCUUCUUCAGGGAUUGUGGGAGGACCCAGGACUGUCCUGUGACAGCAGAAUUGGUCACCACAGCAAGUCAGCUGCUGUCCCGAUGGAGGACCACAGGACCAGGAUGUGAGUAAUUCUCAAAGCCUCCCUGUGGUCGGACUCUUCUGGAGACUUCUUCAAAACCAGUGGACUCUGCUUGUGGCCCUUCUAGCAAGUUCCCUGGUCUGAGAUUUUGGCGACUUCGGUCCAGCCCAUCCCUGCCUGACCUUAGAGCUCACCAGAAAUACUUAGAUGGACUGUGAGGCUCAAGCUACCUCCUUUGUGUUUAGGAUCAGGGGACCUCACGGCCACCUCUGAACGAAGAGGGAGUAUGCCGGUGGAGUGGGCCUGUCAGGACACCAGGCACCUGGAUCUGGUGCUGGGGAUGACUUGCAGAGAAGAUCCAGGACAGCAGGGGCAGACUCCCUCCUUCCUUGUCACCCCCAUCUAGUCUCAGACCCAGGCUGUUCUCAGGGGUGAAUUUAUGAUUUUAUCCCCCGCUGUGCUUCACCACGUCCAGUAAAAUCCUCCUAAAUCCUUUUAAGGAAUCCCUCUCUGCAGUCCCUCCUUCCUGUGGAGCCUUCCAGAUCCUCGGCUCUCCCUGCCUCCAUCACCCUUCUAAGAAGCAUCGCUGCCCAAGCUGUCCUGUGGAGAAGGAUGCUGCUGCUGCUGCUGCUGCUGCUGCAGGCUUUCUGGAAAAGAUGAGGGCCAUCAGACUUGCUGAGCCCGGUGUGACCUGUGGGGAACAGGCACACACUUGACCAGCAGACGGCUAUGGCACACAUCCUGUGGGAACAGGCACACACUUGACCAGCAGACGGCUACGGCACACAUCCUGUGGGAACAGGCACACACUUGACCAGCAGACGGCUAUGGCACACAUCCCUGUCUUAUUUGUCUCUCCUGGGUUAAGCCUUAAUAAUUUUGAAAUUGAUUGCCACCAUUUUAAAAACCGAGGUUUCAUAUGACAAUUUUUUUUUCUUUUGAAAAGCCGGCAAAUCUGACAAGCAUUCUUUGUUGUUUUUAUUCAUUGGACAAAGGGCUUCUUGUGACUCAAGCUGGCCUUGAACUUGCUAUGUAGCUAAGGAUGACCUUGAAUUUCGGGUCCUUCUGUCACCCCCUUCCAAGUGCUGGGCCACAGGUGUGCACCAUUAUCAUAAUGCUUGUUUUUAAAAUUUAAUUAAAAAGUGAUUAUUGAGACGGGGUUUGAUGGGGUUUCUUGAAGACCAGGCUGACCUUGAACUUGAUACGAGUCUGAGGAGGAUGAACUUGAACUCUUGGCCCUCUUGCCUUCCUAGCCAGCAUCUUUAAGGAAGCAAUACUAGUGUGGUUUGUUUCUCAGCCUACAUUUAAGUCAUCGCUCCGCCUCCAGGAGCCAGAGCUGGUGUAGGUCAUCUUUGCAGAUCUCGAGUCCCAUGGUAGAUGGCAAAGCCAGAGCUGAAGCCAGGCCAAACUGACCCCCCCAAACCUUAACUCACACUGAAAACCAAACAGCACUCCCCUCCAGGCUCCGGAGAUGCGUGAGUGCUGCCUCAGAGCGUGCCUUAAAAGGGAGCUGCUGUCAGCAGGUUAAGAAUGUUUUCCUUCUUAGCCACUAGCCACUGUCAGCAGUCACCAAGUCUGGGGCUGGUUUUCCAAGGCAGCAACGGUUGUCUACAGCUGUCUGAAGUUCUUAUCCGUCCUCUGCCUGAGAUGAAAAGGCUUAGAUUAGACUUGUGAGUUAUAAGAGGCUAGAGCUCAAGACCCCGAAGGUCUUAUUUGGGCAUGCGAGGGGUGCAACUUGCUGUAAGGGAACUGCUGAGUCUGCUGAGGCGAGCCAGGAAGAUGAGCAAGGUUCCUUUCUCUCUGGGAGACUCUGUCCUCUGGUCACUCUGUCCCCUUUCUAUGCUUCUGAUUCUUGACAGACCUGUUCCCCUGCCCUAGGUCAUCCCAUAGUUUUCCUUUGUCACCCUGAGACUCCCCAUGCAGACCAGGUGUAGGUGUGGGCAGUGUGUGAGGAUGCGUCCCUCAAGGACAUGCCUUUACUUAGUUGUUGAAAGCUUGACAUUUAGCACAUCCUGGAUUAUUUUUUGACGUUAAUUUUGAUAUUUUAAAAUAUUGUAUCGG
Molecule: long non-coding RNA, 2651 nt
Organism: Myodes glareolus (Bank vole)
Lineage: Eukaryota; Metazoa; Chordata; Mammalia; Rodentia; Cricetidae
Source: RefSeq, a predicted model, not a curated record